AAAUACGAUCAUACCAACACUAAUGCACCGAAUCCCAUCAUAACUCCACACUUAAGUGUGCUUGAACGAGAGAAUAGUAUUAGGUUGAGUGACCUCAUUGGAAGUCCUCAUGUUGCACCUA
This 121-nucleotide ribosomal RNA is filed under the name Lupinus angustifolius (narrow-leaved blue lupine). Lineage: Eukaryota; Viridiplantae; Streptophyta; Magnoliopsida; Fabales; Fabaceae. The record is from RNAcentral.